Molecule: ribosomal RNA, 455 nt
Filed under: uncultured Pantoea sp.
Lineage: Bacteria; Pseudomonadati; Pseudomonadota; Gammaproteobacteria; Enterobacterales; Erwiniaceae
Description: bacterial SSU rRNA
Rfam family: Bacterial small subunit ribosomal RNA
Source: RNAcentral
AAUACGGAGGGUGCAAGCGUUAAUCGGAAUUACUGGGCGUAAAGCGCACGCAGGCGGUCUGUUAAGUCAGAUGUGAAAUCCCCGGGCUCAACCUGGGAACUGCAUUUGAAACUGGCAGGCUUGAGUCUUGUAGAGGGGGGUAGAAUUCCAGGUGUAGCGGUGAAAUGCGUAGAGAUCUGGAGGAAUACCGGUGGCGAAGGCGGCCCCCUGGACAAAGACUGACGCUCAGGUGCGAAAGCGUGGGGAGCAAACAGGAUUAGAUACCCUGGUAGUCCACGCCGUAAACGAUGUCGACUUGGAGGUUGUGCCCUUGAGGAGUGGCUUCCGGAGCUAACGCGUUAAGUCGACCGCCUGGGGAGUACGGCCGCAAGGUUAAAACUCAAAUGAAUUGACGGGGGCCCGCACAAGCGGUGGAGCAUGUGGUUUAAUUCGAUGCAACGCGAAGAACCUUACCU